Long non-coding RNA from Carassius carassius (crucian carp), 461 nucleotides. RefSeq lists it as uncharacterized. The record is from RefSeq and is a predicted model, not a curated record. The transcript has 4 exons. Lineage: Eukaryota; Metazoa; Chordata; Actinopteri; Cypriniformes; Cyprinidae.
UUCACUGUUACGACACAGCCUAAUAAGACAACAGAAAACUCCAUUACGGCAGGGAAAAACUCUUCCGGAGAAGCAGCCACAACCAGUUACCCAAAAAUAACUCCAGAUCCCUCUAUACGCAAUUUCACUGUUAUGACACAGCCUAAUAAGACAACAGAAAACUCCAGUACGGGAGGGAAAAACUCUUCGGAAAAAGCAGCCACAACCAGUUACCCAAAAAUAACUCCAGAUCCCUCUAUACGCAAUUUCACUGUUACGACACAGCCUAAUAAGACAACAGAAAACUCCAGUACGGGAGGGAAAAACUCUUCAGAAAAAGCAGCCACAACCAGUUACCCAAAAAUACCUCCAGAUCCCUCUAUACGCAAUUUCACUGUUACGACACAGCCUAAUAAGACAACAGAAAACUCCAGUACGGGGGGGAAAAACUCUUCAGAAAAAGCAGCCACAACCGGUUACCC